This 1548-nucleotide ribosomal RNA is filed under the name Candidatus Hodgkinia cicadicola. RNAcentral describes it as "bacterial SSU rRNA". It matches the Rfam family "Bacterial small subunit ribosomal RNA". The record is from RNAcentral. Lineage: Bacteria; Pseudomonadati; Pseudomonadota; Alphaproteobacteria; Hyphomicrobiales.
AGAGUUUGAUCCUGGCUCAGAACGAAUGCUAGCGGCAGGCCUAACACAUGCAAGUCGAGCGGACAACCUUCGAGGGUUGUUAGCGGCGAACGGGUGAGUAACACGUGAGAAUCUGCCUUGUUCAACGGAAUAGACCAAGACAAUCUUGGUGUAAUGCCGUAUGAUUCCAAGAUUUGGUAAAGAUUAUAUCGGAACAAGAUGAGCUUGCGGUAGAUUAGCUAGUUGGUGAGAUAAAAGCCCACCAAGGCAACGAUCUAUAGCUGGUCUGGAAGGACGGACAGCCACAUUGGGACUGAGACAAGGCCCAAACUUCUACGGAAGUCAGCAGUGAGGAAUAUUGGACAAUGGGCGUAAGCCUGAUCCAGCCAUGUCGCAUGAGUGAUGAAGAUAAUAAACACUAGCGCAGAUAUGCGCUUUAGAUUGUAAAACUUAAUUGUUAGUGAAGAUAAUGACGUUAACUAACGAAAGCUCCGGCCAACUUCGUGCCAGCAGCCGCGGUAAUACGAGGGGAGCGAGUGUUGUUCGGUUUUAAUGGGCGUAAAGGGUGUGUAGGCGGUCUUGUAAGUCGAUAAUCAAAUCUUGGAGUUCAACUCCAUAGCAGUUAUCGAUACUGCAUUACUACGAACUUAAUAGGGGUGAAACACAAUUCCAAGUGUAGGAGUGAAAUCCGUCGAUAUUUGGAGGAGUACCGAAGGCGAAGGCAGUUCACUGGGUUAAGUUGACGCUGAAACACGAAAGCGUGGGGAGCAAACAGGAUUAGAUACCCUGGUAGUCCACGCCCUAAACGAUGAGUGCUAGUAGUCGAAUGUAAAUUGCAUAUUCAAAGACAUGUUUCGAACAUAUCGAUGGAUUUGUGAACUUAUAUUUGAUUAUAAAGCUAACGCGUUAAGCACUCCGCCUGGGGACUACGAUCGCAAGAUUAAAACUCAAAGGAAUUGACGGAGACCCGAACAAGCGGUGGAGCAUGUGGUUUAAUUCGAAACUGCACGAAGAACCUUACCAGCUCUUGACAUCCGAUGCUAAACAUGUUGGAAACAACAUGAACGCUUGCAUAAGCAAGCAUGCCUUGGACAGGUGCUGCAUGGCUGUCGUCAGCUCGUGUCGUGAGACGUAUGGUUAAGUCCUAGAACGAGCGUAACCCUUGCCCAUAGUUGCCCAUCAUUUGAUGGCUCUUUAUGGGAACUGCCAAUGAUAAAUUGGAGGAAGGAGAGGACAACGGCAAGUCAUCAUGGCCCUUAUGGGCUGGGCUACACACGUGCUACAAUGGCAACUACAAAGAGUCGCAAUAUCGUGAGAUGGAGCAAACCUUAUAAAAGUUGUCUCAGUUCGGAUUGCACUCUGCAAUUCGAGUGCAUGAAGCAGGAAUCGCUAGUAAUCGUGGAUCAGCAUGCCACGGUGAAUAUGUUCUCGGGUCUUGUACACACUGCCCGUCACACCAUGGAAGCUUGCUUCGUUCGAAGCUUCUAGAUUUAGAAGCCAAAACAAAGCAAGUGAUCGAGGUGAAGUCGUAACAAGGUAGCCGUAGGAGAACCUGUGGCUGAAUUAAUG